Long non-coding RNA from Daphnia pulex (common water flea), 5242 nucleotides. RefSeq lists it as uncharacterized. The record is from RefSeq and is a predicted model, not a curated record. The transcript is spliced from 7 exons. NCBI's taxonomy places the organism in Eukaryota, Metazoa, Arthropoda, Branchiopoda, Diplostraca, Daphniidae.
GUUUCUGUACCAGAGAGAAAUGGAGGGAGGUGGGAAUUUCCUUAUUGUGAUGGUAGAGAAAUUUGUUGUUUUUUGUGUGUGUGGUUCUGUUCAUGUUUGUUUCAUUCCUUCCAUCCUUUCUAAUAAUCAAAAAGUAACUGAACCGGUUUAUUGGGCUAGUCCAGACGGGACAAGCGUUUGCGUGCAGGUGAACUCUUCAAAGAAAUCGAAAGCAGUGAAAGUUUUCCUUCAAUUUUUUUAAUAUCUCUUCUAGACGAAUGAAUCAAUCUCUCGGCUGCUGCUUAUUCACGCUGAAAGUUGGUUUUAGCAGAAAAAAAAACUGGAAUUAAUAUCAGAUCAAAACAAAACCUCCUGUCUGGGUGAAACUAAGGUGAUAUGAAUCAUAAUCAUAAUAACAAUUCCCCGUUGUGUUUUUGGUAUGAAGUGCAGGGUAUCAAAAUAGGAUCUCGAUUCAUAUCUGUCGUAUCAUGCACGAACUGUGUAAUCAUAUUGCGGUAUAACGUGUUGACGUCAUUCAUUCUGUCGUUUUCGAGAUGGCGUGAUGACGGGAGAGGAGGAGACGUAACUUUCUACUUGUACAUGCAUAUCCUGGAAGACGAACCCCAUUGGCAAAAUUACCAUCUUGGAGAGAGAUGAGAGGCUGCCUGUGGAUGCUGAGAGCAUGUUGCCUUUAUCAACAAUCACCGUAGAACGAAUCCACUUCAGAUGAGCAGCGGAUGCCGUUGCGUUUGAAACAGUUCCUCCUUCCUCAUUGGAUUUUUUGGUUUGCCCUUACCGAGUUGUCCCCCAUUGGAUUAUAUCAUUCGACGACACUCCAGACUGAAAAUGUUCCAAUUGGAUUUCAAGUUUGGAUUUCAAGUUUGGAUUUCCAUUUCACCGUGUCCUGAACUGCAUUAACUCGUCGGAAAUGAAACACUGGUUAUUUCACUUUCAUCGUUCGCAUCACUUUUUAAUGGGGAUCGAAUUGAGGAAGGAUUUUUUAUACCCAGCCUUGUACAUCAUCCGGGCGAUGUCUUCCUGGAGUGUCUUCUGGAAUUUGCGCUCACCGGCGCGUUGGUCGGCGUUGAGUAGAGAGGCGUCAAUCUCCCUGGAGAGCCUGGCCAUCCUGGGCAUGAGUCUCAUUUCCAGGUUGAGCAAGGCGUACCUGAUCUCGUAAUGAUCGUUUUUCUCGAUAUCCUGAUCCAGUUGCCUCUCCAUCCGGAUGAGUUCUCCAGUCAACAUUUUGCGAUCCUGUUCGGGAUUGCCCGAUCCCGCUUCCUCCUCGGACGAAUCAGCUGCGAAUCCACCGAAUAAUGGCGAACUUCCUCCAUAAGGUCUGCAAAUGUUUUGAAAAUUUCAAUUCCAAUUAAUUUAAAAGCUAUAAGAAAUAAUUUUCGAAUUGGCACUGACUCUGGUCUGGAUGUCACGAAAGUGAAGAGGAAAGUGAAAACGAUGGCGCAGAGCGUGAAUUGCUGGAACGAUCUCAUGAUUUCAGAUGAGUGUGUGAUGAUUGUCUUGUCUCGAACUCUAUUCUCUUUGCUGGAUGGACGAUUAAUGACAGCCAACGGUGUUACAGUCCGAAUCUUUUAUACUUUUCUAACCUGGCGAUCCUGCCCCCCCCCCUCGACCGAUCAAAGCUAGCCACCCACUUGCAGUCGAAAAAAAUCUAUCCGUGCGUUCAUACCCGAUAGCAAGUGGCCCGAGAAAAAGAAGGAAUUCCGGCUGCUAGCGUGCACACACACACACGUUAGAGAAAUUUGUGUCGUGUAAGAAAAAAAAGAAAGAAAGGACGAGAGAGAGAGAGAAUUGUUGGUGGAUGUCGUCGCCCGCCCUUUCUAAUUAUUUGUAGCCCCGUUAGCGUCGUACAGACAAGAGCAACCGGUUUUUCUGUCAGUCAUUUGCCACUUUUUAGCCUAUAACUCAUCGGAAGAAACUGAAAGUAGAUACCAGUGAAAGUUGGAUGUAGGCUAUAAUCUAAGGAGGUGUCUUUUGUUUUUUUCUCCCAGUUUUUUUUGUCGACGUGAUUCGUUUGAGCCACAAAAAAACAUUUCGACUCCCGACUGUAUGGAGUGUGAAUGUUAACGGCGUCUGGAAUUUUUCAAAAAUAAAUUUCAAUGCUAAAGUGAAAGUGGGGUAGGCUUUAAUAUCAUUCUUGAACUUGGGAAAGAAAUUUCGUGAACUUGUGAAAAUGAUUACGAGGCUCUGAUAAUGACUAGCUCAAUCUUUUGUUUCGGUUUUCCAUGCCGAUUGAUUUAAUUUGUCGACAGUUUUAUCCGUGAGUGGGUGUGAACGAUGAAAUGGCGAAAUUGAAUUUUUAUUUUAAAACUAGAUAUUUCUUUUCUCCGUAAUUACAGAGAGGCUAGUUCGUGACUCCGUUUAAUUAGCAACGUUUGAUUUCGCUUUUAAUUGUCGCAGGAAAAAGUUGUUGGUGCACUUGACAAUUAUUGUCGUUGCGCGCUAAACCCGGAAUUAAUUUGUACCUGUUUGGUUUCAUCUGCGUGUAACAAUUAAACGCAUUUGGGCGACCGAGAAAAGAGUUUCCUGACUGCACUACACGCCGUGUCCACCGGAUCAUUGCAAGUUUGUGUCGUUUUUGGGAAAGUUUGUCCAAAACCAGUCGACUGUGUCAUUUUUUUUAAUCCCCUACUUCUUCCUCGUUCAACGCUUUUUGGUCAUGUGUACUCUAUACACACACAUACACAUGCAGGUAUUUUACAUAAAUCGUUGGCAUACCGUCAAAUUUUCUCCGAUUGAAUUCGACAUUUUUCAUCCGAUUUAGACAAUUCUUGGUAGAUGGUCGCCAUUAUUUCUUGGCGUCUAUGUCCCAUCAUCAUUAGAUUCGCAGUUUAGAAAACUGGAAUCUACAUUACUGGCUUUUUAUUUAGUCCAGUUUUCGUCUCAGGUUUAAUUUGCAUGAGGUGGCAAUUGAAAUUCGAGAAGGGCGGGGAUUUGGGAAAGUUUUCAAUCCUUGACGUCAGGUUUUUUUUUUGUUGUUUCUUUCCAAGUUGAUCUCCGUCCAAAGAUCGGGGCAUAACACAAACGCAAGUGAUCGUUUUACACAAUCAGGUGCGAAUCCCAAAAAAGGCGUAACUGUCCUAAUAAUACUGAUUCGGUAGGUUGUGUAAGCGCGUGGGCCUCGAGGCUGGGCGGGCAUCGCCAGUAGCGUGAAUGCACUUUGAUAUGCGCCUGCUGGCUCACGUAUACGAAUUGCACCGCCAGUUGGCCACGACAUUAUGAAUUGGGCCCCCCUUUUUUGGUAGGUGUUAAUUAGUUACCUAUGCAUAGUUUCGGGUCGAGAAAUUUAAUCUUUGCCAUCGAAUUUAGCGGUUGUGUAGCGGACACGUAUUUCUAGAAAACAAAUUCAAACGAGUUUGCUAUUUUAUUUCUCAGAAAUUAUUUGUAUCGACUCCGGAUAUCCUAGUCGUCGUAACAAGAAUUUCGAACAUUUUGAUUGAUUGAUUUGAGAAAUUUGGUUAUCGCCGAAUUAGAAAUGUCGAGUGAAAAUAGAUUUGAUUUAUUCCGAAAAUUAUUGACGCUAAUGUUGCGUGCGUAUGCGUACCCUGUAACCGUACGAUAAAAAUUUAUUUUGGCAGCCAGCGAACUCAAAUUGGAAAUCUGUGCCCAAACUAAGUUUUGGAGGUGUUUCUUUUACUUUUUAUUUUUGGUUCUGGUUUGGGUUCUUUGAAAUUAAACCCUAGUAGGGGAACUACUUUUACCUUUUUCCACCUCAUUCGAGAGCUAAGUUAAUCGUAUCGUAAUCUCUGGAGCGACUCAUUGCGUAAACAUAUCGUCGUCGUCUGUUGGGAGAGGUUUCCUGCUGAGCAUUGCGUACUGCGUUUUCGAUUGGAUUUAUAUGCAAAUGACGUUGAAAAAAAAAAGAGUCUUGACUGGAGAUCGCUUUCUUUUUCGUGAUUGACUUGACGAGAAAAAAAGGUGCUUUGUUGUUUCGUUUUUGCUACUGUUCUCAUUUCCAAGAUUACUCUAUUUUUUGUUGUUUCUAUUCUUUCUUCUUAAUUUAUGCGCCAUUUAAACCUUCGACCCGUGCCGAGCGUCAUUACAACACGGUCCCUCUCUCCUCUGUUUAAUAAUGGAUGUCAAUUCAAUUAAUUUGUCGUUUACGACGAACUAGCCACAAAUGAAUAUGGAUUGUUUCUUUUGGGGGGGAAUAUGACGGAACUCUAUUUGCCCUUCGGAACUUGAGAACGGUUUAUUUUAUGGAUGGAAAAAACAAUCUCAAUCGUUUUUUUUAGUUUUCUUCUCUUUAUUACCUUCUCUUCAAUUGCAUCAUUUGGCGAAAUUUAGUUUUGUAUUCACCGUUUCAAAUCAGAGCAACUUGCAUUCCCUCCUUCCUUCUUAGUCGUCUGUUUGGUAUAUUUUUUUGUCUUUACUACUACUUUGAAUUCUACGUUAUUGGAAAAAUAUUAACUCCCUUUAUGCAAUUCGGAAUAUAGACCAGAAAGGAAAUUUCAAGUCCAGUACGCAGAUAUCAGUCAGCUGCAGCUCAACUACGCCAACACGAGGAACUACGCAAGCUUGCACGACGAUUACUGACCCACAAGAGCUCCUGUCCGUGACUUAAAAAUAGUUAAUAUUACAGAGACGCUGUCAACGACUUGUGGAGUUUAUUGGCGACAUCACUUAGAUUCCACGUUCCACUUAAUAGUAGUUGACACGCAAGCUACGAACGAUUGUCGACACCAAUUGCCGUGCUGAUCAGUGACACCUAGUAGAUGAAUUUUGUACAGCUUCAUGGGGUAACGACUGUUUUCCGUCGUCUGCUGUUCUUUAGUGGUGGACGAACGCUUUAACGCUUUCCUCUCUUGUAUCUCACAAUGGCUUCAAUUUGAGCUCAAUUUCUUACGACAAUUGAAGCUUCAACAUGUUCCAACUGGUGCAGUGUUCAUUAGAAGGUUGCUGAAGGACUUAUUCUUUGACGGUUACUGACAGUUGUGAAGCCAUCAAGCCAGGAUGGAAACAUAGUUUGCUUUGAUUUUCUAUUCUCUCCAUAAACUUAUGUUGUGAAAUAUUUUUAACAUCUGUAUAAGUGUGUGCAGUUGAGAGGAGAAAGGAAAAAUUUCCUCAGAUAAAGGGAAAAGUGAGCUGACGUUAUGUUGAAAGAACUGCAGCUCUACAUAAUAAUACAUUUGGUAAAAGUAGAGUUGGAAUAUUUUGGGAUAGUCAAAGGUGUUUGUAUCAUAUACUUUCAAACUCAUAUCUCUCAACUCAUAUGCGGAAUAUCAAAUAAAAAAGAAAUGAUGUAAAA